GCGCCUGCGAUGGAGGCAGCCUUGACAUUCAUUUCUCGGUUUUGCAGGCAACCUGACAAGGUACCCUCUCGUCUCGUGGCAAUGUGCCACGUCAAAAUUUUCC
RNAcentral lists this small RNA (103 nucleotides) under bovine gut metagenome. RNAcentral describes it as "RT-5 RNA". It matches the Rfam family "RT-5 RNA". Rfam says of the family: Clostridium (Firmicutes). Environment (Cow rumen (57)) The record is from RNAcentral.